UCUAAUUAAUAACAAUAAUAUGAAAAGGGAAUUAGGUUUAGAAGUUGUGACCAUCAGACUUGUUUGAAGCUCAGAUUCGUCUCCCUCCUCUCUCACUCGCGGCGGCCGGACUUUCCCUCGAUCUCUCCGAUCAAAUCUUUCUCUCAUCUCCUCCGUGGACAAGAACGAAUCGGCCUCACCUUUCAUCCGUCUCGAUCUUCUCUCUCUCUCGAUUCAGACUUCAUUCAGUCUCUGAUUCAACUCAACGAUCGGAGAUCAGUCCCUAUGUGUGUUCAAUUUGAUCUUAAAGAUGAUAAAUCCAGGGAAUGUGCUUCGAACUUCAGGUCCUUUGGUGAACCGGUUUCUUCCUAUUUGCCGCGGCUCUGUUUGAAAUGUAUGCAGGGAGCUUGAAAGUGAAGAUACCCUCGGAAUAAGCAUAGAUUUUUGUUUAAUUGUUUCAGAACUUGUUUCUUUUUUAAAUGAAUGUAUUGGAAUUGGGUUUGAAUUUUGGAUAAUGGACAUGGACUGAAUUUGUUUUGUAAUGAA
Long non-coding RNA from Vicia villosa (hairy vetch), 525 nucleotides. RefSeq lists it as uncharacterized. The record is from RefSeq and is a predicted model, not a curated record. The transcript is spliced from 2 exons. Lineage: Eukaryota; Viridiplantae; Streptophyta; Magnoliopsida; Fabales; Fabaceae.